Molecule: long non-coding RNA, 2509 nt
Filed under: Homo sapiens (human)
Lineage: Eukaryota; Metazoa; Chordata; Mammalia; Primates; Hominidae
Description: HSALNT0355880
Source: RNAcentral
UACAUAUAAACAACAGACUCUCUUCUUUAUUGCUUUGUGCUUUUAGUUUUAAAGUUAACAAUCUCUCAGCUUGACAUCCUAGCUUUCGUUUUUGUUUGCAUUUACAGAAUAUUUAUUUAUGGCCCACCUUGAGCUCUCUAUUAGGUUGUAUUUGCUAUUUGGUUUCAAGUAUUUUCCCAAGAACUUUUUCAGAUGGGGUAUAAGGCAGAUAUAUUUUUCCAAAUAAUUGUAUAUUCAGACUUUCUUUUACUUCAAAAGGCAGUCAACAUUUCUCAUAUACGGUCUUGGAUGCUGUUCCAGUGUCUUGUAAAGAAAUCCCUUCAAACCUCUAGAAUUAGGAUAUUUUGAUCUCUUAAUUUUCUCUACCUGCACCCCAAAUGUUGGCAGUUCUAAGCAUGGAGAAAGGAAGAAUGAUUUAUCCUUCCACGGGCCACCAGCAUAGAAGCAGGGAGUAUCUAUACAUCACCCCCCAAGACUCCUGGAUGAAGCCUCUUUCCCAUUCACCUGUCCUUUUGUCUCUCCCAUUCAGGAACAGGUAGGUCUCUGCCCCUAUGCAGCCAUUGCUUCACCUUUAGGAGGCCAGGGAGACCAAGCCUGCUCCUGCAGAGCUGAUGUUGACAGCUUCCCAGGGUUCUUCACACCUCUGCGUCUUAGUACUUCCCCGGAUCCUCCGAUGUACGUAGUCUUGGCUGCCAGGGUCUCCAGGGUUGGUGAUAUCUAGAUUAUUGUCCAGCCUAUGGAGAGGAGAGUUCAUGCCCAUUUCUCUGCAAGUCUUUUCACAGAACCUAAAACCUCACCAAAUCUCAUUCAGAGGCCAGGUCACUGCUGCCAUUUGACACAGGAGACGAGCCUGAUUGUCUCCCAUGAAUAAAGCUUUGUGGGUGCUGUUUAAAACUAUGGGUCUCUUUUGUCUUCAGCAGAAACGGUUUUUCAUUGUUUUCGUAUACUUCUAAGACGUUAAAAAUACUUGAAUAUUUACACUAAUUUUCAAACUUCUUUAGGUUUUGUAUUAGCACUCUCCACAAAAAUAACAUAUGUAUAUAGUAUAUAUAACAUUAUAUAUCUUAGAUGAAACUAUAUAGAUAGAACAAAAAAUGUGUUCUAGACUAAAUUUGUCCUCUGAACAAAUUUUCCACCAGCUCUAGUCAUUGCUGCAUUAGGGAUUCUUGUCAUCUAAGGACUGGGUUUUACUACAUGAAGAUGCUCCUGUUGACAUAAACUGCUCAAUGCAAACGUUUACCUGCAUGUCAACGCGCAGCCUACCCAACUCAAACAACUCUUCAUGGCCACGAGGUUACAACAGACACUUUGGCCGGGGACCCACUUAUUUUCUGAGAUUGUUUCACUAUGGUCCUGGGGCAGCGAGCUCCCGUGGGGUGAAAGGCGCCCUCUGCAGUACCGGAUGCGGCAGCGGCUCAGAAGGGCUGUGCAGGGGAUCGCUGGUUAAUUGAUCAGAGCCAGUUUUCUUUAUCAAUGCUGGGAACGCGGGGGUGAGGUGAGUCAGUCCCAGCUUGUACUCUGGUUUCUGAGCUGUGGAAUCCAACAGGAAGAUCCCUUUCCCACCAGCUAAGCACAGACCUGAGAUUUCCCCUGCUUGACUUCCAGCCGGGUCUUCACCGUGCUGUGCCAGCUGCCUCAGGCUGUGGUCCUUGUUAUUUAUUUGUUUUUGUUUUUUUUUCAUCAGCUUGGUUCUUUUCUAUGAAAUGUUUUUGCUCAUUGUUGAAAACUUAAAGGCAAAAACCAAACCCAUCUUCCAGUUGUGGGAUAAAGCAUCUUCAUCGUCUGAUUCCAUUAUUUCUCAAGUGUGCUACGCGAUUGUGUUCCUGUUAGCUUUUACUUUCCUGAACAGGAUCAUGUUCUAAAGAUGAGAAGCCACGCUAUUACCAGCAGGUUGGAAGAUGAAUAAAGGCACCGUCGAGGCCUCUGAUGGACUAAACCUGCAUGUUCAGCACCCAAAUACAAAACGAGAGAAAAAGUCGACACCUGCUUUCCUUCUGCCAUCGUCGCUGGGAAGUGUCCUCUUGUCCAUCUCCUGUCCAGAGGCGCCUUCCUGCUGUGCCCCCCGGAAUAUGGCUCUUUCUGAUUUUACCAGCCCUUUUCACAUCACUGCACCCAGGGGAAACGUCCUCUCCCCAGCCUCCUAAAGUGUGGCCAUGCUAUCUCCUUCCUGAGACACUUUCCUCUGGAGAUUGCCCUGCUGUGAUAGCCUAGUCAUUGCCAUCCCGGACACUCAUGGUACCCUGUACCCGAACCAAAUCAGAGCACUUUGACACAAGGCAGCCUCCAGGCAGGGGUCACCCUGGGAUUGUAAGAUCCAUGUCACUCCAACAGAGCCUCUUCCUUCCCUCUCACUGGUUUCUGCCAACAGAGGGCGGCCAGGCACCACGCCCAUAUGCCUUGAAUCUGAGCUAACCACCAUGUAGGAUCUAAGAAAAAUAUGCUUACCAGAUGAUGUUGGCCAGGCGCAGUGGCUCACGCCUGUAGUCCCAGCAUUUUGGGAGGCCAAAGC